Molecule: ribosomal RNA, 253 nt
Filed under: uncultured bacterium
Lineage: Bacteria
Description: partial 16S ribosomal RNA
Rfam family: Bacterial small subunit ribosomal RNA
Source: RNAcentral
UACGGAGGGUGCAAGCGUUAUCCGGAUUUACUGGGUUUAAAGGGUGCGCAGGCGGAUAUGUAAGUCAGUGGUGAAAUCUCCGGGCUUAACCCGGAAACUGCCGUUGAUACUAUAUAUCUUGAAUGCCGUGGAGGUAAGCAGAAUAUGUCAUGUAGCGGUGAAAUGCUUAGAGAUGACAUAGAAUACCUAUUGCGAAGGCAGCUUACUACGCAGAUAUUGACGCUCAUGCACGAAAGCGUGGGGAUCAAACAGG